UGUUCCCCAAGAUGGCCACAUCCUGAUCCCUGGCACCUGUGAAAUUGCCGUAGGAAGAGACUUUGCAGAUGUAAGUAAGGUUCUAGAUCAUAUGGAGAUGAUCCCAGAUUAUCUAGGUGGGUCCAAUUGAAUCACAGGUACCCUAUAAGGAGAGAAUUUUCUCCAGCUGGAAGCAGAAGAGAUCUAGCAGAAAAAGUCAGCAAGACUUGAAGUUUGUGAAGGAGUAGAUGCAUCAUUGCUGGCUCUGAGACUUAAGGACCAGAUAAAGGCCUCGGGAGCUAAGGGUGGCCACCAGCUUCCAGCCAGCAAAAUGGGACCUGCAACCACAUGAAACUGGGUUCUGCCACCAACUCACGUAAGCCUGGAACGAGAGGCCCCCUCAGAGCCUCUAGAUAAAAACUCGGAACUGCCAGCACCUGUUUCAGUCCUACGUGACCCUCAGCAGGGAAGCAGCUCAGCCCUGCCGUGCCAGGACUCCUGACCCGUGGAAACUGGGAGAUACUAAACUCAUGCUGAAGAAGCUACUAAGUUUGUUACGACAGCAAUAGAAAACUAACACGGCGAAAUAAAAGAUCCUGGUUUCCUCGAAGCCUGAUUUCUGGGCUACUGCCAAUAAGAGCCAUCAACAAGAGCUAUAUAUGACUGCUUGAGCAGUUCCUACUGAAGGCGUGAUCCUAGCGUUAAGACCACUUUUUUCAGGGCAUGAAGAUCAUUGCAUAUUUUUAGAGUUGGAAAAAUCAGUUACAGUGAACAUGUACAUGCAGGAUGGGGCAGUUCAACCUUCUCAUCAUCAUAAUUAACACGAAGGUUAUCAAAGAAAUACAAUUGGAUAGAAGAUGAGAAGCACUUUCCUAGACUCAUGAAGUUCUCUAGUGAUGAGUUAUGGUAGAACAUUCUCUCUCCAACCUCCUUCACCACCUGCCUGCAAGCUCUUCAGGUGCCACAAAAUGGAGAACUACCUCUCAGCUUCAGACUUCCUGUAAAGUGCCCAGCAAACAAGGAAUGUUGCCUGUUAGGAAUUAUAAGAACAGAAGAGAGGGAUCUCCAAGUUGAGUUUGGGGCUCUAUCCCUGGGUACAUCCUCUUCAUGUACUUUGGUCCCAGGGUUGCAUUCAAAUACCGUGUCUUAACACAGCAGGGCCUUUCAGUUGCCAGCAUUGUACCUGAGAGUCAUUCCCUCAGGAAAUGCAAGAAACAACUGGUCAGAGGAAUAUGUGACUCACCCAUGGAAUUAAAUGAGAGACUAAAUAGAUAACCAUGUCACUGGAAGAAAUGAAGGCAUUCCCUACCAAAUAUCAAUUUUAAAUAGCUUCACAUACUGUUGCAAAGAUCACACACUUACAUCUGUUGCUCUUCUGUAUGAGAUAGAUAGGGUCAAGCCUGGAGGAGACUGAGAUGCAGCCCCAGUGUCUGAGGUUGUGUCAUGCCAAGGUAGUGGAACCCCCUGGGACCCAGGAGGUGGUCAGGGUGAACCUCAAGGACCACAUUAACAAAAUUCAUCUGGAUUACCCAAAGCCAAGCACAAGCAAAGGAUUAGAAUAAGAUUAAGGGGAAAAUAAGUGACUUAGAUAUCUGUGCCCUUAUCCAAGUGAAAAAUAAAUUAUUGGGAAGAGUGCAGGACCUCACACUCUGUGACAUACUGCAGCUCAUAGUAUCUAUUUGCUUUUGAUUCAGGUUUAGUCAUUUCUGCAUCAUCUUCUGAAUCAACCUCAUACAGAUCUCCAGCCUGUUUUCAUAUCCUGGAGUCCUGCUCCCAUUGUAAAUUCAGUUUUCCUAACCUUGCCUUCUAACCCAACCCAUUCUUUGCUUUUAUUGUUUUGGUUUUCUGUGACCUCCCCAUAGUGCAAAAUCUUGAUUAAGUGCCUCUGGAAGAAAAGGUUGCAUUGUAGGAAAAUUUUCUAUACACUCAGGCAGUAAGAAUGAACUGUCAGAAGCACUGCAGGGUAGUGCCUCUGAACAGACAAUGUGAAAAGAGUGUAGGGCUACAUUAAAAGAAAAAACUAAAAACAAACUAAAAGCCCCCAAGUUUUUAAAUUAUAUUAAAGUACUGCUUGUUCUCAAAACUUAUAGUCCACUGUUUGGUGCUGACUGGCAAAUUUCCACAAGCAGGUUAUCAAGGGGAAUGAGACGGAAAUAUUUGUUCCACCCUAGAAAAUACAUGCUUUAGGGCAAGUAUUACCAUUUAGGAGUAAAACAUCACUCAACAUUUCUUAAAUCCAAAGCAGUGGGUUGGGGUUUUCCCUGCUACACCUGCAUUCUUUGCUCUCUUUGCAGUCAUAUUUGGUGUUCUAUCUUCUAUCUCUGCUCUCAUUUUUCCACUCAUUCCACUUCUUCCAGAAAACAUUUGAGGGUGAAAAUAGAUCCUAUUAAGAAUUUCAUUGGAAUAAUAAGUAUAAACCAGUACCAUUUGGGAACAACCAAGAUGGUGUUCAUUAUACUGCAUGUCUGAAUAUAUAGGGCCUCAUAAAUCUGGAGAACUUCCCAAAACCACAGAGCUGGCAUCAUAAAAGUGGUUCCUGGGGUGCCUGGGUGACUCAGUUGGUUAGGUGUCCAACUUCAGCUCAGGUCAUGAUCUCACAGUUCAUGGGUUCCAGCCCCACCUUGGGCUCUGUGCGGACAGCUUAGAGCUUGGAGUUUGCUUUGGAUUCUGCAUCUCCCUCUCUCUCUACCCCUCUCCUGUUUGUGCUCUGUGUCUCAAAAAUAAAUUAACAUUAAAAAAGAUUUUUUAAGUGGUUCCUGAUGUUCUUAGUUUCUAUCUUGAUCAAGACUUUAACCUAUCUUGUGUUUGCUUUCUGAUUCAUUUCUGAUACCAUCUCCAACCUCCUGAAUAGUUUUCCUAAGUAUAGACUUGCCUCAGUUCUUGUCCUUACAUUUAACCAAGUCCAUGAAUCUUAGCCAUGGCCACCAUCUUUAACAUUGAUUGGUAGCCUUUUGUGAACUAUCACCUUCCCAUUCAAGAUAAAUUGUCAAGACCCACUGCCUUAGCUCCUCCUCACUUUUCCUUACGAUUUUACAGAAAAGACAUUCCACAGUAUCUACUAGUGUACCAAUUACAUGCAAAAAUCAUAAUCUUAAUAAUCUACCUCUAGAUGAUAAGGACUUUUAUAUACAUGAUUUUAUUUGAUACUCAUAGCAAGCUUGUGAAGAUGUGUUAAACAUUUCACAGAAGAGAAGCUAAAGUUCCAGGAAAAAUAGCACUGCUAACUUUGAAUGUUUUCUAUUAUGAUCUCAAUAUUCCCAAAUGUCAUAUACUUAUCCAAAGAUUUCUAGAUUGGGACUAUUAUAAACUAUCUGAUAUAGUUUAUAUCUAUAUCAGAGUCAAAUGCUAAACUAGUUUAUUGGAUUUGCAUUCCUAUGUUUGUCUUUAUAGGGCUUAAUUUUAUAUAAUUAUUAGAAAUGGACUUUUGGUAGCCCAAACGUUUGUAGUUGGGUCACUCAAAUUUCCCCAUGGGUUUUGCCCCAAACUCCAGUUUGGGACCAAACAGACCCUUUGAGGGGUAUGCAGUGUUCCAUCUUACAUGUCGUGUUGCCUUUACCACAUGAAUUUUACUACCUAUGCUCUCUAUAGUGGAGCCCCUGCUUCAUUCUCCUGAGUGCUACUCAUUGUGAUGUUUUCAUCCUUGGGUCAGGAUUCUUAAGACAACAUCGCUGAUGUCUGAUGUUAGAGCUUCCUGGCAUUCUCUGUCUCGAUCCUGUCAAUUUCCACCAAGGGACAGGUCACUCUGGCCUAGGGGACACUCUGCCACUUGACCUUAGUUUGGACAUUUAGCUAAUAAUGUUGGUAUCUUGCUGCUCUCUCUCUCCAUAAGCUGACUUUCAUGUUUUGGGUCCGUAUUCAAACUUACAUUUCUCCCUUGU
Felis catus (domestic cat) is the source of this 3857-nucleotide long non-coding RNA. RefSeq lists it as uncharacterized. The transcript is spliced from 4 exons. The record is from RefSeq and is a predicted model, not a curated record. Lineage: Eukaryota; Metazoa; Chordata; Mammalia; Carnivora; Felidae.